This 1233-nucleotide long non-coding RNA is filed under the name Homo sapiens (human). Its description in RNAcentral is "HSALNT0159826". Lineage: Eukaryota; Metazoa; Chordata; Mammalia; Primates; Hominidae. The record is from RNAcentral.
GUUUUCUGUUUUAGAUUUGACUUGAGUCAGUUGUUCCUGCUAGCUAUUUAGAUGAAAUAUAUGGAAUAUCACUUAAUAGGCAGAAGCGCUGAUACAAUUUCCUCUUAAAGGAUCUGAUUCCUGGCAUCCAAAGGAAACUGGAAUUCAAGUUCGUAUUAGAACUUGAAUUUGUUCUGCCAGAGUGAAAAUUGGUUCCAUUAGGCCUCAGUCACAGAAUUCUUACAGACCUGGCUAGAGCUGUAGAUAUGAUAUAUCCAACUAGCUGAAAAUCAUAGUCUUAAGUAAUGCUGCAUGUGCUUUGGAAAACCAUCCAGAGGGUUUUAAUUUUUUUUUUUUGAAUGAAAAUUUCCUAAUUUUACAGUUGUCAUAAAUCUGGAACAAGUCUAAUUAAGGUCAUCAAGGCAAGUGAAAAUCUAAUGAGCAAACUUUGGAAAUAACAUGAUGAGAAUAAUUUAAAUGUGAAAUAUUAAAUUGUGGCAAUGUUUAGCAAGGAUUCUUUCCUUAACAUUUUUCUUAUUCAUUUGCCCAUACUUCCCUCUCUUUGCAGAUUUAUAGUGCUCUUGGGGAGGCUCCUGGAAGAAGUGAUAUAUCAGACAGACAUACUAUUCAAAAGCUUAAAACUUAGCAUCUGACUAUAAACACCAUGCCACAAAGAAGCUUGGGAUGAAGGAUCACGAGGCGAGAGGAGUCCAGCACCCAGCACACCCACUGGGAGCUACAUGCAUGAGACCCCACCCAAUCAGCAGAACCAUACAGCCAACAGAAUCAUGAGAAAUAAGAAGUUGUUGUUGUUCUAAGCCACUAAGCUUUGGAGUGGCUUGUUACACAUCAAUAGGUAUCCAUGCUUGCAACUACUACAAUCAUCUAAAGUUGAGAGAGGCCGGGCCCGAUGGCUCACUCCUGUAAUCCCAGCACUUUGAGAGGCUUAGGCGGGCAGAUCACUUGAGGUCAGGAGUUCGAGACCAGCCAACAUGAUGAAACCCUGUCUUUACUAAAAAUACAAAAACAAGCCAAGCGUGGUGGCUUGUACCUGUAAUCCCAGCUACUCAGGAGGCUGAGGUGGGAGAAUCGCUUGAACCUAGGAGGUGAAGGUUGCAGAGUGCCGAGAUUGUGCCACUGCACUCCAGCCUCAAAAAAUGUUGAGAGAGAUUUUGUUGAUAUAGCAAGAGUAUAAAUUGUGCCGGGACGGUGGCUCAUGCCUAUAAUCCCAGCACUUUGGGAGACUGAAGCAGG